This is a long non-coding RNA of Bombus terrestris (buff-tailed bumblebee), 589 nucleotides long. RefSeq lists it as uncharacterized. The transcript is spliced from 3 exons. The record is from RefSeq and is a predicted model, not a curated record. NCBI's taxonomy places the organism in Eukaryota, Metazoa, Arthropoda, Insecta, Hymenoptera, Apidae.
AUUAGAAUUUCCGCGAUCGUUCGAACGAACGUGUCUCGUUCAAAUUGCGCGGGCAUACAACGGCGUUUCUUAUCGCAUCGGAAAUCGAUACCGGUUCUAUCUCGAUUUCGAUUGUCAAAGGGUACGCUACAGGAGAACCCGGUAUUUCUUAUCAGUGAGCAACGAUUAUAAACCCUUACCUGUGCAUAUUUCUAACAAGCUUACUCAAUCCGUAUUUCCAUUCGAUGUCGGACUGAGCUUGUAUCCGUUGGCUCGCUCCCGGACAGAGCUAAAUAUUUCUUACGGAUCGAAUCCCAAUCGACUACGCUUUCGAGUCUUGUAGCACUAUUGAAAGACAAUUGACUUCCAAGAGGACUCAAGUGCACCACGGACAAGGUUACACUGUCUUUUGGUCUGACUUGACCUUUCUUCACUUUGGCCAGCCACUUCGCGCCCAUCUUCGAUCUAGCGUGUUGCUUGCACACUUUGAUGAAAUACACGAUCCAAGUAGUGAGCAAGUUAAGAGGCGAUGGGGCGGUGGUCGUUCUGCAACACGGAAUCGUGUGUCCAGCCUAUCCCGCAGAUUCGUUUCACGAGAAAGAACUACACG